This 519-nucleotide unclassified non-coding RNA is filed under the name uncultured Glomus. Its description in RNAcentral is "SSU rRNA". It matches the Rfam family "Eukaryotic small subunit ribosomal RNA", at positions 569 to 1088 of the family's 1831-position model. Lineage: Eukaryota; Fungi; Glomeromycota; Glomeromycetes; Glomerales; Glomeraceae. The record is from RNAcentral.
AGCAGCCGCGGUAAUUCCAGCUCCAAUAGCGUAUAUUAAAGUUGUUGCAGUUAAAAAGCUCGUAGUUGAAUUUCGGGGUUAGUAGGUUGGUCAUGCCUCUGGUAUGUACUGGUCUCACUGAUUCCUCCUUCCUGAUGAGCCGUAAUGCCAUUAAUUUGGUGUUGCGGGGAAUCUGGACUGUUACUUUGAAAAAUUAGAGUGUUUAAAGCAAGCUAACGCUUGAAUACAUUAGCAUGGAAUAAUGAAAUAGGACGUUCGAUCCUAUUUUGUUGGUUCCUAGGAUUGACGUAAUGAUUAAUAGGGAUAGUUGGGGGCAUUAGUAUUCAAUUGUCAGAGGUGGAAUUCUUGGAUUUAUUGAAGACUAACUACUGCGAAAGCAUUUGCCAAGGAUGUUUUCAUUAAUCAGGAACGAAAGUUAGGGGAUCGAAGACGAUCAGAUACCGUCGUAGUCUUAACCAUAAACUAUGCCGACUAGGGAUCGGAUGAUGUUUAAUUUUUUAAUGUACUCAUUCGGUACCG